RNAcentral lists this transfer RNA (72 nucleotides) under Marmota monax (woodchuck). It matches the Rfam family "tRNA". From Rfam's summary of the family: Transfer RNA (tRNA) molecules are approximately 80 nucleotides in length. Their secondary structure includes four short double-helical elements and three loops (D, anti-codon, and T loops). The record is from Rfam by way of RNAcentral. Lineage: Eukaryota; Metazoa; Chordata; Mammalia; Rodentia; Sciuridae.
UGGGGUGUGGCUCAACGGUAGAGCAUUUGCUUAGAAUGUAUGAGGCCCUGGGUUCAAUUCUCAGCACUAUAU